RNAcentral lists this ribosomal RNA (841 nucleotides) under uncultured bacterium. Its description in RNAcentral is "bacterial SSU rRNA". It matches the Rfam family "Bacterial small subunit ribosomal RNA", at positions 21 to 906 of the family's 1533-position model. The record is from RNAcentral.
GGCUCAGGAUGAACGCGGGCGGUAUGCUUAACACAUGCAAGUCGAACGAUGUUUUAGGACAUAGUGGCGGACGGGUGAGUAACGCGUAAGAAUCUACCUUCAGGUUUGGGACAACCAUUGGAAACGGUGGCUAAUACCGAAUGUGCCGAGAGGUGAAAGGCUUGCUGCCUGAAGAAGAGCUUGCGUCUGAUUAGCUAGUUGGUGGGGUAAGAGCCUACCAAGGCGACGAUCAGUAGCUGGUCUGAGAGGAUGAUCAGCCACACUGGGACUGAGACACGGCCCAGACUCCUACGGGAGGCAGCAGUGGGGAAUUUUCCGCAAUGGGCGAAAGCCUGACGGAGCAAUACCGCGUGAGGGAGGAAGGCUCUUGGGUUGUAAACCUCUUUUCUCAGGGAAGAAAAAAUGACGGUACCUGAGGAAUAAGCAUCGGCUAACUCCGUGCCAGCAGCCGCGGUAAUACGGAGGAUGCAAGCGUUAUCCGGAAUGAUUGGGCGUAAAGGGUCCGCAGGUGGUAGUGUAAGUCUGCUGUUAAAGAGUCACGCUCAACGUGAUAAAAGCAGUGGAAACUACACAACUAGAGUACGGUAGGGGCAGAAGGAAUUCCUGGUGUAGCGGUGAAAUGCGUAGAUAUCAGGAAGAACACCGGUGGCGAAAGCGUUCUGCUAGACCUGUACUGACACUGAGGGACGAAAGCUAGGGGAGCGAAUGGGAUUAGAUACCCCAGUAGUCCUAGCCGUAAACGAUGGAUACUAGGUGUGGCUUGUAUCGACCCGAGCCGUACCGUAGCUAACGCGUUAAGUAUCCCGCCUGGGGAGUACGCACGCAAGUGUGAAACUCAAAG